UACGAAGGGGGCUAGCGUUGCUCGGAAUCACUGGGCGUAAAGCGCACGUAGGCGGCUUUUUAAGUCAGGGGUGAAAUCCUGGAGCUCAACUCCAGAACUGCCUUUGAUACUGGGAAGCUUGAGGCCGGGAGAGGUGAGUGGAACUCCGAGUGUAGAGGUGAAAUUCGUAGAUAUUCGGAAGAACAUCAGUGGCGAAGGCGGCUCACUGGCCCGGUACUGACGCUGAGGUGCGAAAGCGUGGGGAGCAAACAGG
This 253-nucleotide ribosomal RNA is filed under the name uncultured bacterium. Its description in RNAcentral is "partial 16S ribosomal RNA". It matches the Rfam family "Bacterial small subunit ribosomal RNA", at positions 524 to 776 of the family's 1533-position model. The record is from RNAcentral.